CUUUGAUUUCGUCCAUUUUACAGAUUGCCCAGGCAGGUGGUAAUUUUGCUGGCCCACUGGGUUAUGGCCCAGCUGGGCGGACCUCACUCGGCCACGUACACCAUGAAAGGACGAUCAUCCUCUGCUCGAGAACCCUCGCGUAAUACACUCCUCUCUCUCUCUUUCUCAAAUCAAAGAAGAAAUGGACCAGCAGUUUCUACAGCUCUGUGGCUCUAGGGAUGGUGAUCAUUGCCGAGUACAACGAGUUCCAUGGGGAAUCUCACCAUCAUCGCGGAUAUCGCCGAUAAGUGGCCUUGAUUUGCAAAGACGACUCUAUUCCAGAUCUGUCCAAAUCUCCGGCCAGAUACACAGCUAUGCCAUGCGGCACACACCUGAUUCUAUUUCAGAUCUAUACAUUUAGGUCUACAGUUCAGGUAAGCUUUCUAAGAUGAUUUCGGUUGUGUAGUUUGGUUCAGUUCAGUUCCUUGCGAGUUCUGAUGUUGAUUUGCUGCGAAUCUGCCAACUCAGGCCCUAAUCCUUUUCAGUUUACUAUCGUUUUCAGUUUGUUGGGUAUGCGUUCAAGAUGUUUUGGGUUACUUGAACCAAUUGAAAUUUUGGGAUGUUUUGAGUGGGUUUGGUAUCUUCAUCCACGUUUUCUUGAAUUUCGUCGUUCGAUCAAGUUCUGCGGUGGUUUUGUUCGGCUGAUUUUACAUUUAGAUCAGAUUUUUUUGUGAUUAGUUGCAUGUUUUACGACUGGGUUUUGAGUGGGUGUUUUUUUUUUUUGCAAUCGCCAGAGACCACGGUCCACGGCUACGCGAGGCUAUUAUUAUUUUUUGGGGGGUCAAACGAAAAUAACAUAGAUUAAGCAAAGAUGCUACAGUCGAGAUAGAGUAUCAUCGUAGCAUUUAGGAGUACAAGGCAAACCAAUGCCAAAACGCUAAACUAGGUAUGAAUAUGUCCCACGGCCAACGCGUCCGCCAAAAUUAUUUCCCGAUCAGCUAAUGGCACACUUGUUGUAAGAUAACUACAUGUCUGUGAAAAUCCAUUCAAAGUGUGCUCCCAUUUUUUUUUUGCAUUCUAUGUGUUCGACAAAAUGUAUGAGAGAUAAAUGAAUGGUAAUCUAUGUGUUUGACCAAACACAAGUGUUGGGAAUCUUUUUCUGGCUGGAUUGAUGGUUAGUAAAAAUCCAUUAGCUUUAUGGUUUAAAACUUAUUUCUUACUUUGUAAUAGCCAGUUUAUGGAUUCGUCAAGUAGGAUUUGGUGAUUGAUGUUGAUUGAGGCUAUAUUAAUAUUACAUUCACCCAUGCUUGAAUCCACCUUUAAGGACGGCAUUCUCUAUGUCUUUCAGCUUCAUAGGCGUCCUAUUUUGUUGUCAUUUUAUUCCUUCGAUUGAUUCGCUACGAUUUGUUAGGAGAUUAUAAUAACAUUCUGUUAUGUCUUCUUUUAAGGGAUUAUAAUAAGGUAUCAUAUAUUUGUUAAAUUUGAAGUCAUAGAAAUGCAACUUUAAAAUCCUUGCUGAACCCUUUUUUUUUUUUUAGUAGGAUUGGUUUGCUGUAUAAAUUGUAAAGAGUAUGCGACAUUAUAGUUUUCUGUUGCCGGUAUUAAUGUAUCAUUCAUGUUGAUUCAAAUGUUCAAUUUAUACUUACGUCUGUUAACUUCCUAUGUUUUCUUCUGAAGCCAUAUGUUCAGUUUACAUUUGGGGAUUCAAUGUCAGAAGCGACAUUGGGAGAUUUUAUGUCAUUCUAUGUUGAAUUAUAAACAAAAAAAAAAUGUCAUUUUUGCUUUGUUUCUUCUUUUCCCUUCUCUUUUGCAGUAAAACCAAGAUGUCUUCCAUGAAUCAAUUUUGUUAGAUUAUUAGGAGAUAAUGAAGAAGCGUUUGAUGUUCUAUAUUGUAUAGCUUUUGCGAUGAUGGAUGCUUAGUGGCUUGUUAUGUGUGAUUCCUGUAAGGAAUUUAAUUUUUGAAGAGGUAACUCUUGCGAUCGACUCUACUUUUCAAUCUUAGUUACAUGAAGCUCCUUGCGGACCUCGCCGGUAAGCGGCCUUGAUUUCCAGAAGCGUAAAUCACUAAAAAAAUUUAUCCCUUUUUUGUGUUCUGUUUCGUGGUUUGUACAUUUUCACUUUAGAAA
Rhododendron vialii is the source of this 2105-nucleotide RNA transcript. RefSeq lists it as uncharacterized. The transcript has 4 exons. NCBI's taxonomy places the organism in Eukaryota, Viridiplantae, Streptophyta, Magnoliopsida, Ericales, Ericaceae. The record is from RefSeq and is a predicted model, not a curated record.